CAUGUCNUUUUGAUAAUGAUUUGAAGUCUGGCCUGCUCAAUGAAUAUUAAAUAGCCGCAGUAUUUUAACUGUGCGAAGGUAGCAUAAUAAUUAGUUUCUUAAUUAGGAAAUGGAAUAAAUGGUUUGACAAGAAAAUUUCUGUCUCUUUUUUAUUAUUAUUGAAUUUUAUUUUUAAGUGAAAAAGCUUAAAUUUUUAUAAAAGACGAGAAGACCCUAUAGAUUUUUAUAUUUAAGAUAAAAUUAAAAGUUAGUAUAUUUUUUUAUUUUAUUUAUUUGAUUGGGGUGAUGGGAAGAUUAAAUAAAUUCUUUUAAUAUUAAUUGGUUAUUUUCAAUUUUUUUUUAUCUAUAUUUUAUAAAUAUAAAAUAAAUUACCUUAGGGAUAACAGCGUAAUUUCUUUUUAAAGUUCUUAUUGAAGAAGGAGUUUGCGACCUCGAUGUUGGAUUAAAAUUAAUUUUUGGUGCAGUAACUGAAAAAUUAGGUCUGUUCGACCUUUAAAAUUUUACAUGAUCUGAGUUUAGACCGGCGUGAGCCAGGUCAGAUUCUAUCUUUAUAUUUAUUAUAUAUUUAUUAGUACGAAAGGACCAUAUAUAAGUUAAAUUAAUUGU
RNAcentral lists this ribosomal RNA (606 nucleotides) under Cautires sp. UPOL MM0036. RNAcentral describes it as "partial 16S ribosomal RNA". The stretch from base 379 to 537 matches the Rfam family "Bacterial large subunit ribosomal RNA", at positions 2473 to 2632 of the family's 2925-position model. Lineage: Eukaryota; Metazoa; Arthropoda; Insecta; Coleoptera; Lycidae. The record is from RNAcentral.